Molecule: long non-coding RNA, 1492 nt
Filed under: Piliocolobus tephrosceles (Ugandan red Colobus)
Lineage: Eukaryota; Metazoa; Chordata; Mammalia; Primates; Cercopithecidae
Description: lncRNA (ENSPTEG00000009995.1)
Source: RNAcentral
ACAAGGUCACAAUUUUAACAAAAAAAAAGAACUUACAAAGAAUAUAACAAACCCACAACCUGUGUUGUUAUUAAGUGAAAGGAAUAAAAAUGGUACCAACAACAACAAUAUACGAAAUAACAGUAUGCGAAAUAACAGUGUAAGAAAGAAUAGCGUACGAAAGAAUAGUGUACGUAACAAUCACAAUGUUAAUAAUAAAAUUCCAAGUAAAUCAAUUCCUCCUAAUUUACUAAUUACAAAUAACAAAAAGACACGAGAAGAGAAAAUAUAUUCUAAUGGAAUGUUCUUACUUAGCAAUAACACCAUCUCAAAAGAUAAACUACUGAUUGAAAAACAGUUAUACAAUAAUAAUGAAAAUAUAAAGAAAAACAAAUUUUUGCUUCGUGAUAAAAUCAUAAAAGAAAAUAAUACCAUCAAUUCUGUGACCAAUUCUGUGAACGAUUCUAUGUAUUUAAAAAAUAAUAAUACAAAUUCAAUAAAAGAUAUAUACAUAAACAAACACAAACAAUUAAAUAUAAAUAAAACCACUAGAAAUAUAACUACUAUUAAAAACACACAACUUUUAAAUCAUGAGAAAUACCAAAAAACGAAUAAAUUUAUAAAAAAAAAUGUAAACAAUGUAAACAAUGUAAACAAUGUAAACAAUGUAAACAAUGUAAACAAUGUAAACAAUGUAAACAACGUAAACAACGUAAACAAUGUAAACAACGUAAACAAUGAAAAAAUGUACAGUAAUUAUAGCCAUAUUUAUACUCCCAGUGCUUUAGAACAAAAAAAUAAAAGAAAUGUGAGCGAAACUGUUGUACAUAGUGGACAAAAGGUAUUACAAGUAAAACCAACGGUACAUAAAAUUAAAUCCCCCUUGCAACAUGGUUUACCUCCAACCGAACGCAACAUACAAAAAACACAACAAAUAAAUAUAAAUAAUAAUGGUAACUUCAAUCGAGACAAAAAUAACUAUCGCUAUCAGUCAGAGAAGAACAAAGUAAAUGUAAAAAGUACUAACAUACACAAUCAAACUAACCAAGUUAAUAAAAUAAUUAAAAAGCCAAUCAUUAAUCAAAAUAUAAAUAAUAACAAUGUAACGAGUAGUUUAAUUAAAAAAGUUGUUACUAAUGUAUCCACAAGUAUAAUUAACAAAUUGACAAGUCCUUUAUCGCGUUUUGCAAAAAAUAAUAAUAAUGAUAAUAAUAAUACAAAAAUAGUUCAACAUAAUAAAGAUGUAGUACAUUUAAAAAAAGAUAAAAAAAUUGAAUUUAAUAGGAUGAUAAAUAAAGAUAAUACGUUUAAAAUGGGUGUAAAAAACAAUCCCACUAAACAAAUAUAUAACAACAAUAAUAAUUCCCAAAAUAAACCUACUAUGUUAGGAGGUACAGUUAAUAAACAAAAUGAAAAAAUGGAUUCAAGUAAUUAUAUACAAAAACACCACAUUAAAUCGUUAGAAAAAUAUAAUAAGACUGCUGACAACAAUAGCGACAGUAAUAAUAACAGU